UCCAUCCAAUGAGGUCAGCAGGGCUAUCAGC
This 31-nucleotide non-coding RNA is filed under the name Homo sapiens (human). The record is from RNAcentral. Lineage: Eukaryota; Metazoa; Chordata; Mammalia; Primates; Hominidae.